This 465-nucleotide ribosomal RNA is filed under the name Vreelandella stevensii. Its description in RNAcentral is "partial 16S ribosomal RNA". It matches the Rfam family "Bacterial small subunit ribosomal RNA", at positions 338 to 795 of the family's 1533-position model. Lineage: Bacteria; Pseudomonadati; Pseudomonadota; Gammaproteobacteria; Oceanospirillales; Halomonadaceae. The record is from RNAcentral.
CCUACGGGUGGCUGCAGUGGGGAAUAUUGGACAAUGGGCGAAAGCCUGAUCCAGCCAUGCCGCGUGUGUGAAGAAGGCCUUCGGGUUGUAAAGCACUUUCAGUGGGGAAGAAAGCCUUGGGGCUAAUACCCUCGAGGAAGGACAUCACCCACAGAAGAAGCACCGGCUAACUCCGUGCCAGCAGCCGCGGUAAUACGGAGGGUGCGAGCGUUAAUCGCAAUUACUGGGCGUAAAGCGCGCGUAGGCGGUCUGAUAAGCCGGUUGUGAAAGCCCCGGGCUCAACCUGGGAACGGCAUCCGGAACUGUCAGGCUAGAGUGCAGGAGAGGAAGGUAGAAUUCCCGGUGUAGCGGUGAAAUGCGUAGAGAUCGGGAGGAAUACCAGUGGCGAAGGCGGCCUUCUGGACUGACACUGACGCUGAGGUGCGAAAGCGUGGGUAGCAAACAGGAUUAGAUACCCCAGUCGUC